GACGAACGCUGGCGGCGUGCCUAAUACAUGCAAGUAGAACGCUGAAGGAGGAGCUUGCUCUUCUGGAUGAGUUGCGAACGGGUGAGUAACGCGUAGGUAACCUGCCUGGUAGCGGGGGAUAACUAUUGGAAACGAUAGCUAAUACCGCAUAACAGUAGAUGUUGCAUGACAUUUACUUAAAAGGUGCAAUUUCAUCACUACCAGAUGGACCUGCGUUGUAUUGGCUAGGUGGUGGGGUAACGGCUCACCAAGGCGACGAUACAUAGCCGACCUGGGAGGGGGGUCGGCCACACUGGGACUGGGACACGGCCCAGACUCCUACGGGAGGCAGCAGUAGGGAAUCUUCGGCAAUGGACGGAAGUCUGACCGAGCAACGCCGCGUGAGUGAAGAAGGUUUUCGGAUCGUAAAGCUCUGUUGUAAGAGAAGAACGAGUGUGAGAGUGGAAAGUUCACACUGUGACGGUAUCUUACCAGAAAGGGACGGCUAACUACGUG
This 495-nucleotide ribosomal RNA is filed under the name uncultured bacterium. RNAcentral describes it as "partial 16S ribosomal RNA". It matches the Rfam family "Bacterial small subunit ribosomal RNA", at positions 28 to 507 of the family's 1533-position model. The record is from RNAcentral.